GACGAACCGAGCGAACGUUAUUCGGAAUCACUGGGCUUAAAGGGUGCGUAGGCGGCGCGGUAAGUAGGGUGUGAAAUCCCUCGGCUCAACCGAGGAACUGCGCUCUAAACUACCGUGCUUGAGGGAGGUAGAGGUGAGCGGAACUUAGGGUGGAGCGGUGAAAUGCGUUGAUAUCCUAAGGAACACCGGUGGCGAAAGCGGCUCACUGGAUCUCUUCUGACGCUGAGGCACGAAAGCUAGGGUAGCGAACGGG
Molecule: ribosomal RNA, 253 nt
Filed under: uncultured bacterium
Lineage: Bacteria
Description: partial 16S ribosomal RNA
Rfam family: Bacterial small subunit ribosomal RNA
Source: RNAcentral